UACGUAGGGGGCAAGCGUUGUCCGGAAUCAUUGGGCGUAAAGCGCGUGUAGGCGGCCCGGUAGGUCCGCUGUGAAAGUCCAGGGCUCAACCCUGGGAUGCCGGUGGAUACUGUCGGGCUCGAGUCCGGAAGAGGCGAGUGGAAUUCCUGGUGUAGCGGUGAAAUGCGUAGAUAUCUGGAGGAACACCGGUGGCGAAGGCGGCAUCCUGGACCGAGAUUGACGCUGAGGCGCGAAAGCUAGGGGAGCAAACGGG
This 253-nucleotide ribosomal RNA is filed under the name uncultured bacterium. RNAcentral describes it as "partial 16S ribosomal RNA". It matches the Rfam family "Bacterial small subunit ribosomal RNA", at positions 524 to 776 of the family's 1533-position model. The record is from RNAcentral.